GUUCUGAUUAUGGCUCAGAUUGAACGCUGGCGGGAUGCCUUUACACAUGCAAGUCGAACGGCAGCACGGACUUCGGUCUGGUGGCGGUGGCGAACGGGUGAGUAAUGUAUCGGAACGUGCCUAGUAGCAGGGGAUAACUACGCGAAAGCGCCAGCUAAUACCACCUUUCCGCGCCCUUCGGGGAAAGCAGGACGCUUUCGGGCCUCGCACUACCGACAGCGAUAUCGGAUUAGCUAGUUGGUGGGGUAACGGCUCACCAGGGCGACGAUCCGUAGCUGGUUUGAAGAGGACGACCAGCCACACUGGGACUGAGACACGGCCCAGGCUCUACAGGAGGCAGCGGUGGGGUACCUGGACUGUUGAAGCCUGAUCCAGCCAUCCCGCGUGUGCGAUGAAGGCCUUCGGGUUGUAAAGCCACUUUUGGCGGGAAAGAAACGGCACGGGAUAAUACCCCGUGCAACUGACAGUACCUGCAGAAUAAGCACCGGCUAACUACGUGCCAGCAACCCGCGGUAAUACGUAGGGUGCAAGCGUUAAUCCGGAAUUACUGGGCGCUAAAGCUUGCGCAGGCAGUUCCGGAAAGAAAGAUGUGAAAUCCCAGAGCUUAACUUUGGAACUGCAUUUUUAACUACCGAGCUAGAGUGUCAGAGGAGGUGGAAUUCCGCUGAUGUAGCCAGUGAAAUGCGUAGAUAUGCGGAGGAGCACACCGAUAGCGAAGGCAGCCUCCUGGGAUAACACUGACGCUCAUGCACAGCGUGGGGAGCAAACAGGAUUAGAUACCCUGGUGGUCCACGCCCUAAACGAUGUCCAACUAGCUGUUGGGGCCUUCGGGCCUUGGUAGCGCAACUAACGCGUGAGAUUGACCGCCUGGGGAAGUACAGUCACCGGAAGAUUCUGAAACUCGAGAAUUGACGGGGACCCGCACAAGCGGUGGAUGAUGUGGAUUAAUUCGAUGCAACGCGAAAAACCUUACUACGCCGGCAUGUGGAAUCCCGAAGAGAUUUUGGGGAGUGCUCGCAAGAGAACCGGAACACAGGUGCUGCAUGGCUGUCGUCAGCUCGUGUCGGCAAAGAUGUUAGGUUAAGUCCCGCAACAGGCGCAACCCUUGUCAUUAGAUUGCUACGAAGAGCACUCUAAUGGGGACUUACCGUUGAGCAAAGCCGGAGGAAGGUGGGGAUGACGUCAAAUUAUCAUGGCCCUUAUGGGUAGGGCUACACGUCGCCACAAUGGUCGGGACAGAGGGUCGCCAACCCGCGAGGGAGCCAAUCCCAGAAACCCGAUCAUAGUCGGAUCUUGAUCACAGCUCGACUGCGUGAAGUCGGAAUCGCUAGUAAUCGCGGAUCAGCAUGUCGCGGUGAAUACGUUCCCGGGUCUUGUACACACCGCCCGUCACACCAUAGGAUGGGUUUUGCAAGAAGUAGUUAGCCUAACCGUAAGGAGGGCGAUUACCACAGUAGGAUUCAUGACUGGGGUAAAGUCGUAACAAGGUAG
This 1491-nucleotide ribosomal RNA is filed under the name uncultured Bordetella sp. RNAcentral's name for it is "partial 16S-23S ribosomal RNA intergenic spacer". It matches the Rfam family "Bacterial small subunit ribosomal RNA". Lineage: Bacteria; Pseudomonadati; Pseudomonadota; Betaproteobacteria; Burkholderiales; Alcaligenaceae. The record is from RNAcentral.